GAUGAACGCUGGCGGCGUGCUUAACACAUGCAAGUCGAGCGAUGAAGUUUCCUUCGGGAAACGGAUUAGCGGCGGACGGGUGAGUAACACGUGGGUAACCUGCCUCAUAGAGUGGAAUAGCCUUCCGAAAGGAAGAUUAAUACCGCAUAAUGUUGAAAGAUGGCAUCAUCAUUCAACCAAAGGAGCAAUCCGCUAUGAGAUGGACCCGCGGCGCAUUAGCUAGUUGGUGGGGUAACGGCCUACCAAGGCGACGAUGCGUAGCCGACCUGAGAGGGUGAUCGGCCACAUUGGGACUGAGACACGGCCCAGACUCCUACGGGAGGCAGCAGUGGGGAAUAUUGCACAAUGGGGGAAACCCUGAUGCAGCAACGCCGCGUGAGUGAUGAAGGUUUUCGGAUCGUAAAGCUCUGUCUUUGGGAAAGAUAAUGACGGUACCCAAGGAGGAAGCCACGGCUAACUACGUGCCAGCAGCCGCGGUAAUACGUAGGUGGCGAGCGUUAUCCGGAUUUACUGGGCGUAAAGGGAGCGUAGGCGGAUGAUUAAGUGGGAUGUGAAAUACCCGGGCUCAACUUGGGUGCUGCAUUCCAAACUGGUUAUCUAGAGUGCAGGAGAGGAGAGUGGAAUUCCUAGUGUAGCGGUGAAAUGCGUAGAGAUUAGGAAGAACACCAGUGGCGAAGGCGACUCUCUGGACUGUAACUGACGCUGAGGCUCGAAAGCGUGGGGAGCAAACAGGAUUAGAUACCCUGGUAGUCCACGCUGUAAACGAUGAAUACUAGGUGUGGGGGUUUCAACACCUCCGUGCCGCCGCUAACGCAUUAAGUAUUCCGCCUGGGGAGUACGGUCGCAAGAUUAAAACUCAAAGGAAUUGACGGGGACCCGCACAAGUAGCGGAGCAUGUGGUUUAAUUCGAAGCAACGCGAAGAACCUUACCUACGCUUGACAUCCCUUGCAUUACUCUUAAUCGAGGAAAUCCCUUCGGGGACAAGGUGACAGGUGGUGCAUGGUUGUCGUCAGCUCGUGUCGUGAGAUGUUGGGUUAAGUCCCGCAACGAGCGCAACCCUUGUCGUUAGUUACUACCAUUAAGUUGAGGACUCUAGCGAGACUGCCUGGGUUAACCAGGAGGAAGGUGGGGAUGACGUCAAAUCAUCAUGCCCCUUAUGUGUAGGGCUACACACGUGCUACAAUGGCUGGUACAGAGAGAUGCAAUACCGCGAGGUGGAGCCAAACUUAAAAACCAGUCUCAGUUCGGAUUGUAGGCUGAAACUCGCCUACAUGAAGCUGGAGUUACUAGUAAUCGCGAAUCAGAAUGUCGCGGUGAAUACGUUCCCGGGUCUUGUACACACCGCCCGUCACACCAUGAGAGUUGGCAAUACCCGAAGUCCGUGAGCUAACCGCAAGGAGGCAGCGGCCGAAGGUAGGGUCAGCGAUUGGGGUGAAGUCAUAACA
Molecule: ribosomal RNA, 1446 nt
Filed under: uncultured organism
Description: 16S ribosomal RNA
Rfam family: Bacterial small subunit ribosomal RNA
Source: RNAcentral